UACGGAGGGUGCAAGCGUUGUUCGGAUUUACUGGGCGUAAAGCGCGCGCAGGUGGGUGAACAAGUCGGAAGUGAAAUCUUGAGGCUCAACCUCGAGGCUGCUCCCGAAACUGUUCGCCUAGGGACUGGUAGAGGCUGGUAGAAUUCCCGGUGUAGCGGUGGAAUGCGUAGAGAUCGGGAAGAAUACCCGUGGCGAAGGCGGCCAGCUGGGCCAGGUCCGACACUGAGGCGCGAAAGCGUGGGGAGCAAACAGG
This 253-nucleotide ribosomal RNA is filed under the name uncultured bacterium. RNAcentral describes it as "partial 16S ribosomal RNA". It matches the Rfam family "Bacterial small subunit ribosomal RNA", at positions 524 to 776 of the family's 1533-position model. The record is from RNAcentral.